AUUUAUGUAGUUUAUAAAAACAUUACACUUUCACUGUAAAGAUAAAACUUUUUUUCAUAAAUA
RNAcentral lists this transfer RNA (63 nucleotides) under Centrocolumna evidens. RNAcentral describes it as "tRNA-Glu". It matches the Rfam family "tRNA". From Rfam's summary of the family: Transfer RNA (tRNA) molecules are approximately 80 nucleotides in length. Their secondary structure includes four short double-helical elements and three loops (D, anti-codon, and T loops). The record is from RNAcentral. Lineage: Eukaryota; Metazoa; Arthropoda; Insecta; Blattodea; Blattellidae.